AUUGAACGCUGGCGGCAGGCCUAACACAUGCAAGUCGAACGAGUGGCGGACGGGUGAGUAAUGUCUGGGAAACUGCCUGAUGGAGGGGGAUAACUACUGGAACCGGUAGCUAAUACCGCAUACCAUCAGAUGUGCCCAGAUGGGAGUAGCUAGGUGGUGGGGUAACGGCUAACCAAGGCGACGAUCCCGAGCUGGCGUGAGAGGAGGACCAGCCACACUGGAACUGAGCAACGGUCCAGACUCCGACGGGAGGCAGCAGUGGGGAAUAUUGGCCAAUGGGCGCAAGCCUGAUGCAGCCAUGCCGCGUGUAUGAAGAAGGCCUUCGGGUUGUAAAGUCCUUUCAGCGGGGAGGCGUUACCCGCAGAAGAAGCACCGGCUAACUCCGUGCCAGCAGCCGCGGUAAUUC
Molecule: ribosomal RNA, 406 nt
Filed under: uncultured bacterium
Lineage: Bacteria
Description: partial 16S ribosomal RNA
Rfam family: Bacterial small subunit ribosomal RNA
Source: RNAcentral